Long non-coding RNA from Contarinia nasturtii (swede midge), 798 nucleotides. RefSeq lists it as uncharacterized. The record is from RefSeq and is a predicted model, not a curated record. The transcript is spliced from 3 exons. NCBI's taxonomy places the organism in Eukaryota, Metazoa, Arthropoda, Insecta, Diptera, Cecidomyiidae.
AUGCCGCCUUAUAAAAUGGUAACAGCCGCCUCAAUAUUUGUGUAUAUUUGAACACAUAUAUGUGUGUAUGUUGUUUUUGUGCAUACAAUGUUUUUGAUGACAUUCAUCGGUUUGAAGAUAAUGGGACUUUUUUCAGCUCUUUGAAAAUAAACAAAGUUCGAAUAUGAUGCGUAUCAAUUUGCAACGCCAGUCGAAAUUCAUACAGAACAUUUAACAAAAGUAGUGCCUUAGAAAAUUGGAUUUAUUUUUACCCACCCAUUUUUGAGCGAAAAAGAAUUAGAUCAGUCGGUAAAAGAACAUAUGAUUUUCAAAGUAGUUUUAAUGCAUACACAACAAUGAGACCAGCAGUUAAUUCGGUCAUCAACUCAGCCGUACGACAGCCAAUCAACGUCUCAAUACAAAAUGAAUCGGCGCCGAUGACGGAAAAAAUAACAAAUUUUGAUAUACAUCGAGCCAAUUUCAUUUGGCCAGAAGAUCCAGAAGAAGAACUGCCAGUCAAUUUUCCUAGAUUCAAUCAACGUUUCCAACAUCGUCGCUUACAUAUGAGUGCCAUGGUGCCAUUUGGAGUAAUGUUAGUACUGUCUACAAUUAUUUUCAUCAUGAUCAUUUUUCGUCGUUGGCCCGGCGUUGUGUCUGGCAUAGUAGCUGGCUGCUUGACAUUUAUUUCCAUUUAUUUGCUACUGCUUACCCUUAAAGAAGAAGUGCUAGUUUACGAAUGAAUACAAACAAAUUUACUGAUGAAUAGGCAUUUGAAAAAAGUUCGUUAAUUCAAUAUCAAGUAUCAAAUUGAAAUAAUCG